GACGAACGCUGGCGGCGUGCUUAACACAUGCAAGUCGAACGGAAAGGCCCUGCUUUUGUGGGGUGCUCGAGUGGCGAACGGGUGAGUAACACGUGUGUAACCUGCCCUUGACUUUGGGAUAACUUCAGGAAACUGGGGCUAAUACCGGAUAGGAGCUCCUGCUGCAUGGUGGGGGUUGGAAAGUUUCGGCGGUUGGGGAUGGACUCGCGGCUUAUCAGCUUGUUGGUGGGGUAGUGGCUUACCAAGGCUUUGACGGGUAGCCGGCGUGUGAGGGUGACCGGCCACAUUGGGACUGAGAUAGGGCCAAGACUCCGACGGGAGGGAGAAGUGGGGAAGAUUGCAAAAUGGGAGGAAGCGUGAUGCAGCAACGCCGCGUGCGGGAUGACGGCCUUCGGGUUGGAAACCGAAUUCGCCUGUGACGAAGAGUGAGUGACGGUAAUGGGUAAAGAAGCACCGGCUAACUACGUG
This 468-nucleotide ribosomal RNA is filed under the name uncultured bacterium. RNAcentral describes it as "partial 16S ribosomal RNA". It matches the Rfam family "Bacterial small subunit ribosomal RNA", at positions 28 to 507 of the family's 1533-position model. The record is from RNAcentral.